CGGCGCCUCCGAGGGGGCGGGGCGGGAGGGGAGGGGUCCUUCGGCUGCUCCGCACCCUUACCUCGGCCCUCCGCGCCUCCCGAGACCCCACUGCUCCGCGUCAGGCUGGCCGCGAGGGCGGGGUGGUGCCUGUGGCCGCGAGGCCAGGUGGCCGCCAGGAGUGGGGGGAUGCGGAGCUGGAUGUCUGGCAUGGGAGGAGAGGGGCGUUCGCCCGCCUGGGAAGCACCGCCGAAAGCCAGGAGUCAGUGGGCGCGGUGCGGCCAGGCCCCAGCUGAGAAAACAGCAGGGCAGGAGGUGGCCUCGCCUUGCAAGGAAGUGCAGCCUGGCUGAGACUCAGCCUGCGGCCACCUCCCUGGUCCUGCGUCCUUUCCCAAGGGUCUUCUUCCUGACACUGAAGCCAGCCUGGCAUCUUCCUGUUCCAGCCUCCAGGGUGCUCCCAGGAUCGGGCUCACCUCUGCACCUGGUAGCAUGGCCCCCAGCCCACCCUGCACCCUCCCACCUCCAGCUAUCUCCCAACUAGCAGGUUACUUGUCAGGCAGACAGGAUAGAGUAUGUGGUAAUGAGUCCUGGCUCCUGGCCUUUGCCUCUACCAUUCCACCUGCCAGGAAUGCCUUUCCUUUUCCUCUCUGCAAAUGCACUGUGGGAUCCUGGGUUGGAUCCUGGAACAGAAAAAAGGAUGGUAGUGGAAGAACUGGUAACAUUUGAGUAAAGUGAAGUUUAUUAAUACAAAGUACCAAUGUCGGUCUCUCAGUGUGACAACUGUGUCAGGACUGUGUAAGAUGUUAGCAUUAGGGGAAACUGGGUGCAGUCUACCGGAACAUUCAUCCUGUCUUUGCAACUUUUCUGUAAAUCUAAAACUAUCCCUCGGGCAGGGCCCGGUGGCGUAAUGGUUAAGUUCUCACGCUCUGUUUCCACGACCUUGGGUUCGCAGGUUUGAAUCCCAGGCGCAGACUUAGUACUGCUUGUCAAGCCCACGCUGUGGUGGCAUCCCACACAAAAUAGAGGAAGACUGGCACAGAUGUUAGCUUACUGACAAUCUUCCUCACAAAAAAU
Molecule: long non-coding RNA, 1053 nt
Filed under: Equus caballus (horse)
Lineage: Eukaryota; Metazoa; Chordata; Mammalia; Perissodactyla; Equidae
Description: lncRNA (ENSECAG00000056302.1)
Source: RNAcentral